UGCCAGACCAGCUUUCGUGGGCACCUGGUAUCAAUCCAGAAUCAAUCCAACACAAUAAGUUAUUACUCAUGUUAAGAAAAUCAUAAGAAGGCUGGCAUCUCCUUGGGACAAGGCUCAUUAUCUGAACGUGUCUCAAGUACAACAUUGACCUGAAACUUGAUUGGACAGCUUUAGCUGAUCCUUUUCAAACAAGACUCUGGAGACACAGAAAGUGUGGCCUGCAGCUAGAAUCUAUCAUUACUCUACAAAUGUGUUCAAAGAAAAAGAUCCACACCCAGUCUGCCUAGUUGCAACUGCGCUUUUCUUAUUGCCCUGGCUGCAAACUUCAAUAAAGGAGCAGUAUUUAAAAAUGGA
Molecule: long non-coding RNA, 354 nt
Organism: Neopsephotus bourkii (Bourke's parrot)
Lineage: Eukaryota; Metazoa; Chordata; Aves; Psittaciformes; Psittacidae
Exons: 2
Source: RefSeq, a predicted model, not a curated record